Molecule: unclassified non-coding RNA, 194 nt
Filed under: uncultured Dothideomycetes
Lineage: Eukaryota; Fungi; Ascomycota; Dothideomycetes
Description: sequence contains ITS1
Source: RNAcentral
AUGAGUUAGGGUCUCCGGGCCCGAACCUCCAACCCUCUGUCGUUAUAUAAAAACCCUUGUUGCUUCGGCGGGACUCGGGGGCGCCCUCACGGGACCGCCGCCGCGCCGGGCCUCCGGGCCCGGAUCGUUCCCGCCGGAGUCAAACCAAACUCUUGUUUUAACAGUAUCGUCUGAGUAAAUUGAUAAAUCAAUUA